GGAGACGUAUCGAAGUGGUCAUAACGAGCUCGACUCGAAAUCGAGUUGUCCUCCGGGGCACGUGGGUUCAAAUCCCACCGUCUCCG
This 86-nucleotide transfer RNA is filed under the name Qiania dongpingensis. It matches the Rfam family "tRNA". From Rfam's summary of the family: Transfer RNA (tRNA) molecules are approximately 80 nucleotides in length. Their secondary structure includes four short double-helical elements and three loops (D, anti-codon, and T loops). Further hydrogen bonds mediate the characteristic L-shaped molecular structure. tRNAs have two regions of fundamental functional importance: the anti-codon, which is responsible for specific mRNA codon recognition, and the 3' end, to which the tRNAs corresponding amino acid is attached (by aminoacyl-tRNA synthetases). tRNAs cope with the degeneracy of the genetic code in two manners: having more than one tRNA (with a specific anti-codon) for a particular amino acid; and 'wobble' base-pairing, i.e. permitting non-standard base-pairing at the 3rd anti-codon position. The record is from Rfam by way of RNAcentral. Lineage: Bacteria; Bacillati; Bacillota; Clostridia; Lachnospirales; Lachnospiraceae. RNAcentral also lists the same sequence under 1 other name.